UAGCCGUAAACGAUACUCGCUAGGUGUCGGCCACGGUGCGACCGUUGUCGGUGCCGUAGGGAAGCCGUGAAGCGAGCCACCUGGGAAGUACGGCCGCAAGGCUGAAACUUAAAGGAAUUGGCGGGGGAGCACCACAACGGGUGGAGCUUGCGGUUUAAUUGGAUUCAACGCCGGAAAUCUUACCGGGACCGACAGCAACAUGAAGGCCAAACUGAGGACUUUGCCGGAUUAGCUGAGAGGUGGUGCAUGGCGUAGUCGUGU
Molecule: ribosomal RNA, 261 nt
Filed under: uncultured archaeon
Lineage: Archaea
Description: partial 16S ribosomal RNA
Rfam family: Archaeal small subunit ribosomal RNA
Source: RNAcentral